CUGGUUCAGUGCCUGGUCACAGCGAGUUUUCCUGGCACAAGCGAGUGGAAAGCGCACUUUGGCAUGGAGAGGAAAUGAGCAGCGGAGGGUGAAAGGUGUCCUGCCAGGCACUUCCCAUUUGUGUCCUUAUCCCAGUUUCCAGCCAUCUUCAGAGGCUUCCCAGCUACUGUGUCCUGCAAGUUCAAAACCCUGCAGCCCACUGGGACUGGGAAUGUGUGAAGGAGCACAAGGAUUGGAGUUGAAUGACAGUGAUAAAUAGGGAGCCGCCUGCCCCUGGGGGCCAUGCACUGUGUUCCAUCCCCAGAGUGUGCAAAUAUUUGCAGCAGAGCAGCCUCUGAGCCCCGAGACGUGAGCAGCGACACGAGGAGGUGCAGCCCAGGGCAGGGGCAAGGCCAGAGGGUGUGAAACCAGCACAAAGCCCCUGGGGUGGCUGCCUGGCUGUUACAAUUUAUCAUGAACGCAUCUCACUUCACUUCUGGCUCCUCUGACGGAAGGAACAGCCGGUCUCCGGGAGGUCAAAGACAUUAUUUUCCCCUAGUCUUUCUCAGUUUCCAGCACAUAUUUGUCACUUUGAAAAAGCAUGAAUUCUGGAUUUGAUGCACUUUAAUUGAUUUCACCCUCAACAAGUCCAACUGUCCAUCAACCUUUCCUUUUUCUUUCCUCUCCCCCGUCUUCACUUCUUUCCUCUGUCCCUUUGCUUUGAGAGUGAUGUUUUCACCCGCCUGCAUGUUGGAGCUGUGGCAAAGCCCAUGACCCUAUCAAGGCUUACUGUCACUAGCCAUUGCUCUCAUUCCCCCUAUCCUCCAAGUUCAACUUUGGAUGCUGAAUGAGAAUGAAGUAGGAGUACUGAGUUGUAGAAUCUCAGUGAUGUGCUCCUUGUCAAAGUAAAAGUGGUGGCUGACGGUCCACUUAUUUUGAGAUGACUGUGUAGAGCUGGAACUGUGAGGGAACUGAUUCAUUAUAUGCUGGCAUUGGUAUUUAAAA
Long non-coding RNA from Poecile atricapillus (Black-capped chickadee), 984 nucleotides. RefSeq lists it as uncharacterized. The record is from RefSeq and is a predicted model, not a curated record. The transcript is spliced from 4 exons. NCBI's taxonomy places the organism in Eukaryota, Metazoa, Chordata, Aves, Passeriformes, Paridae.